Molecule: ribosomal RNA, 469 nt
Filed under: uncultured bacterium
Lineage: Bacteria
Description: bacterial SSU rRNA
Rfam family: Bacterial small subunit ribosomal RNA
Source: RNAcentral
GUACCAGACUCCUACGGGAGGCAGCAGUGAGGAAUAUUGGUCAAUGGGCGGGAGCCUGAACCAGCCAAGUCGCGUGAGGGAAGACGGUCCUAUGGAUUGUAAACCUCUUUAGGCGGGGAGCAAUGCCGGGCACGCGUGUCCGGAGGGAGAGUACCCGCAGAAUAAGCAUCGGCUAACUCCGUGCCAGCAGCCGCGGUAAUACGGAGGAUGCGAGCGUUAUCCGGAUUUAUUGGGUUUAAAGGGUGCGUAGGCGGAUUUUUAAGUCAGCGGUAAAAUUUCGGGGCUCAACCCCGUCGUGCCGUUGAAACUGGCGCUCUUGAGUGAGCGAGAAGUAUGCGGAAUGCGUGGUGUAGCGGUGAAAUGCAUAGAUAUCACGCAGAACUCCGAUUGCGAAGGCAGCAUACCGGCGCUCAACUGACGCUCAUGCACGAAAGCGUGGGUAUCGAACAGGAUUAGAUACCCGCGUAGA